GACGAACCGUGCGAACGUUGUUCGGAAUCACUGGGCUUAAAGGGCGCGUAGGCGGGUCUCAAAGUCCGGGGUGAAAUCCUCCAGCUCAACUGGAGAAGGGCCUUGGAAACUAGAGGUCUCGAGGGAGGUAGGGGUCCGUGGAACUUCGGGUGGAGCGGUGAAAUGCGUUGAUAUCCGAAGGAACGCCGGUGGCGAAAGCGACGGACUGGAUCUCUUCUGACGCUGAGGCGCGAAAGCCAGGGGAGCAAACGGG
This 253-nucleotide ribosomal RNA is filed under the name uncultured bacterium. RNAcentral's name for it is "partial 16S ribosomal RNA". It matches the Rfam family "Bacterial small subunit ribosomal RNA", at positions 524 to 776 of the family's 1533-position model. The record is from RNAcentral.